UAAGUCUUAAGGUCACCAGACUAGUCGCUUGGGUAUGCAACACAGAUAGGUAGUUGUCUUGUCAAGCAAGCAUGGUUGCGUCCAAUUCUAAGAGUGUGUAAUGACUCUCUAUAAAAUAUAAAUUUCAUCGUGCAUUUUUUGAGAAUAGAGCAUAAUGAUGUGUUUCAUUGCUUUGAGCCAGCAUGCUGCUGAGACAUCGUCUAUUUAUUUUUUUUUAUAAUAGGCGUGGUGAUUGGGACGUUACUGACUUUGAACCAGGAAGACAUGGAUUCUUACUCGCAAAGGAUUGUAAUCGGAACACUGCAAGGCCUCGCAGCUGGCACCAUUCUGUAUGUGACAUUUUUCGAGAUGCUCGACAAGCAGAGACUCAGGAGACUGGUAUAGUGCGAGCUGGCUUCAUUCUAUGCGGUUUUAUCAUCAUGCUGUUUUUUAGCGUCAGAGGUGGUCACACCCACGCUCGACUUGAUGAGAAGAAUCUUUUCAGCCCUUGCAAUUAUUCAAAUGAUCAACAAGAGCCUCAAAUCAAAAGAUGGACGAUCCCUGAUUGCGGCAGUUCAUGUAAAGUGCACGGAGGCGUUUCAGGAUGGAAACUGAGAAAAUUAACGAGGGGCCUUUGCAAAAACUUCAUUUCCUUAACAAGAGCACAAAUCAAACAGAAAACACAUGGCGAGGAUUCUGCCGGUUCUCUCAAGGAUAACUGUGAUAUUGACAAAUAAGAAAAGUUUCUUAACUGAUUCUUUUAAAAUAUCGUUUAAUAGUUAGGUCUAAGAGGUCUCAAAAUAUAUGUUGAACAUGUAACACUUAAAAUAGUUCAAAUUAAUAUAAAAAAAGACACUUAAAAGAAAAUGGAUUCUUUCUUCUGAAAGUAAUAACAAAAAGGGGGAAAAUUGAGAGAAAAAAGAAGGAAAAACGCUUGACUAUGAAAGGGUAGAAACUGAUAAAGAAAGGGCCUUAAUAAGUACAUAGAACUCCACCUGCCGUGCUAAAGAAAAACGUUGUUUAUACAUCCAGAUGUACCAAAAUUUCUCCCUAUAAAACAUUCAUUUUUGAGGAAAUUAAUGAAUAUUCUUCGAUGGAAAUUUUCAGAUACUCUACAUACGUGACUGAUGAAAAAUUUAGAAAAAAAAGUACAUUAGUUCCUCGAAAAUUCGUAUUUUUUUAAAGAAAAUUUAGCAACGCCUGAAAACUCAUACGGCGUUUUUCCUUGGCAAGCAGUCAUACUCACUAGAUUUUUGCAAGACGGAACCAUGAGCACUACAUUAUUGCUGAGACUGUGCAACAUCCUUCAUCAUAUGAGAGAAUCCAAAAAUGUUGUCAGUUUCGGUUUGAACCAAACCAUAUUUUAUUUAUUUGUAAAUUAUAGUAAAUUACUGUUUUUAAUUCUCUUCUGCUUUGCGUUUCAUUAUAUUACUAAAAUAGAUGCUGUCUCAGCAACUGGCAAUACUUUUGAUUCUUUUUUACAAAAAAACAGGUAGUGUAUAACAUUAAAAUUUGUAAACAACCAAGUAACAAGAAUGCGUGUGAAAAAAUUAUCAUAACCUAAGAAAUUUUCAUACUGACUGCAAAAUAACAGUAAUGAGCUCUUGUUAAUUAUAUACAAGGAUACAUAACAUAUUUAUGAGUGAGGAUUAAUUGGUAUGGUGGAAAAUUUUUGCUGUACAAAAUGGUAUGCAUCUCCUGUUGUAAUUAUUCUUCUUUCAGAUUUAUUGAUUUAGUUGCCUUUUAAUGCCUUCAAGAGCUACUAAACACGGAAUAAAGGACAAGGCACACAAUACAAUAAAUUCGGCGCCAGACUGAAUUCCAUAUUUUUUAUAGGAUGCUCUUCACGACCUCCUGUGCACAAUGAGCCUUAUGUGUCAAUCUCAAUAAGAGGAAGGUUGCAAAGUUAACUUCUGGCCAUUUACUAGGGUUGCCACAGAAUAUAGAGAAUUGAAUUACCCUGACACAUUUUGCUAAAAUUUCCUGACAAUGGAUGAUGUGCCAGAUGGUUAAAAAGACAUGAUUUGAAAUUUUGAAAUGUCAGACCCUUCUAGAAAGCAAAUAUAAGUGACUUUACAAUUUUUCCCUGACAUUUACCGGUUUUCCCUGCCUGUUGCAACUUGGUUCACAAGGAUUUUUUUUUCUUAUCAAUUAAGAAGGUGGGACUGUUGCAUUGUGUGUGGCCACUGCGCCACUUGCUCUACGCUAUAAAUUUGAUUUUUAACACCUGCAUUAUCCCUGGCUUGCAAGGGAACAAAAGAUAUCCUCAGUCACCGAUAAGAUGUUGCAACAUCUCCAACUAACUAUUGCAUGUAAAUAUGCCAAAAAAUGCAAUUUUCAGCCCCCUUUCUUGAGAUUGGCACACAAAAAUUUCAGUUUUUUAAAAUGCUCAUUGUACUUGGGAGCCAAUGAGGAACAUCAUAUAAAACAAAUACCAAAAUUAGUUCAUAAGCCUGAAAUUCUUGCAGGAAUUUCUACAUUUCAAUAGAGGGGCAUCUCUAAAGUUAGCUUGCAUCAGUAUUCCUAAUUUGCAUCACAUAUUAAAUAAAUGUUGCUGAACUAAGCGGAUAAAGUAUAAAAACUAAAGAGAAAACGUUUCACUGAAAAAACAGAGGAGAAAUACAAUGAUAAGCAGACAAAGAGAAGUCAACCUUUAAAACAAGUAUUUGAUACUAAGUUACUGUGUAAAACAAUGAAAAUUAAUUGCAAGUUCAAGAAAUUCUAGGAAAAAUGGCAACAUGGGUAAAAGAACCAAUAUCGAAAAACAUAAAUUGAAGAGCCUAUCCAUUGUUAUGUUAGAUUAAUAUGUACCUCAAAUAAAAAAAUGGUAUCUUAAAAUAAAAAUAAGACUAAAGAGAACAGCAAUAAUUUGCAGGGAUAAAAUAAGAUAAAGGACAUUUAUCUUGGUGAGCUAAAAUAAUUAAAUCAUACAUCUAGGGAGACAAGUACAUUUUUACUUGUGAUGAAUCAGAGAUCAGUUUGGAUAUUUCAAGAAGAACUUACCGUUUAAAUUUAAGGUCUGAAAUUAAAAGAGACAAUGACUACGAUAACUAUUUUUGUCAGACAUUUUAAAAUUCUAUAAUUGUUUUGGUUUAUUCUCGACCAGUGUGUUCUCAUCCAGUGGGUUAGAAGGCUACCUGUCCUUUUUUCUGGGCAAAAAAACCAUGAAAAGAAGUGAGUUUUGAAAUUUAGAUGGUGUGAUACAAGAUUAGUUCCCUAUCAUCGUUUAUAGAUCUUGUGGGAGUAAAAGGUUUUAGUUUAAAACGAUCUUAAAAACUUGUCCCUAAAAAACACCUAAUUCAGAGAAAAAACUUUAGAAAAGAGAACCUGCUAAAGGCAAACAUUUUUUAUAACAACAGAUUUCCAUGGAAGUUAGCAGGCAAUCCGUACUCAAAAAUUGAAAAUUAAAAUAGAAAACUCAUACUCAUUAUAAACCAGAACCCUGUUUAUGAAGGCAAGUUUUGUAAGUAUUUUUAAUUUUUUUAUGGGUUUAACAAACACGCUUCCUCAAAAUAAUGAUAAAUGCGUCAAAACUUUAAAAAAUUAGCCAAUUUGUGCUUUCAACUUAGUUAAAGAAAUUGAUUACUAUUUUAGAGAAAAAAACUUCCUAACUAAGACGGAAAACAGUGCAAACACUAAAUAUUUCCUCAUUUGAACUUAAACAGCUUUAAAAGUAAGUUUAUAACAUGUGAAAACCUGAGAAUAUGAAUACACAUACAAUUGAAAUUAGAGGUAUGAGAGUAAUCAUUGAAAUUGCUAGAGUCAAACUACGAGGGUCACACGAAAAAAAUGAGACUUUCUCCAAUUUUUCCAGAAACUAUUGAUGUUAAAAAAACACAUAAUCGCAAUAUUUGAUUGAUCAUUUUCUUUGGAUUUGAGUUAUAUUUUCUUCAAUUGAGACAAGAAGAACGCCCAGGAAAUGGAUUUUCUGCCUUUCCAAUCAUUAAUUUCAUCAUCAAAUCUGUUCGUGCGACACAAGCACUGAAUAAAAUCAGUUUAGUUCUAACAUUAGCAGUUUCGUUGAAAAACACGGAUAGACUACAAGUGGUGAAACAAUCAUUGACUUACAUAAAUAUAUAUGUAAAAUAAUGACUAGAUAAUAAGUUUUUUAAACUUCUUUAAACGAGCUCAAACAGCACCUAUGAAAUUUAGGUACCAGUGUGUUGUGUUCAGGAGUUUCCUGCAUUGUCCUCCAUAUACAUUUCAGUUGACGAUGAACUUGAUUCACAGCUAGCAAGCUCUGGGAGCAAUCUUUGUUACUAGAUCAGUUUUCGUAUCACAGCUUGUGGCUUCGACAGGAGGAUCCUGAUUGAGGCUGAGUCUUCCUCCAUUGAUUCAACUUUAUCGAUCGAUGAGGAGGAGUGUCGAUUCUUUCCUCUUCUUAUUCCCUGAUGUUAAAAGAGAGGGGGAGAAAAAGAUAUUAAAGGUGUUAAUAUGAAUGAUUCUUGAAUAAUUACAGUGGUAAACAACUCAAAACUAGAGUGAUGAAUACAGUGAAAAUUAACUUAUUGAGGUAAGCCAUCAUACACUUGGAAUUUUUGAAUUGAACAUUUCCAAAAUACAUUUUUAUAUAUUUGUCAUGGUGGUUACAACUGCAAUUUUGCAAUGUUCAGAAGGCUUUUAAAUGUUGCAGAUUCUUUGAACAGGUUUUUCAUUCAUUCAUCCAAAUUAAGCAUGUACUUAGUAUGUUUGACAAAUUUUAACUAAUUUCCGAAACUUAUUUUUAAAUUCUGCGAUUGCAUGAAUCGGACCAUUGUUCAGUACAAAUAUGACUGGAAAUGAGAAAAAACACAUAGGAAAUGACUCAAACUGUACGAAACAAGGUUGGCAGAAAUGGCAGAAUUCGUUUUACAUUUUUUAUGUGAUUUCAUGGUGUGCUUACAACACAAUACCUUGUUUCCAAUUUUCUGAACAGCUUAAUUUAGAAAUAAAAAAUAAAAACAUUUUUUC
RNAcentral lists this long non-coding RNA (4929 nucleotides) under Bemisia tabaci. RNAcentral describes it as "lncRNA ENSSWEETPG011320". The record is from RNAcentral. Lineage: Eukaryota; Metazoa; Arthropoda; Insecta; Hemiptera; Aleyrodidae.